Molecule: long non-coding RNA, 260 nt
Filed under: Paramuricea clavata
Lineage: Eukaryota; Metazoa; Cnidaria; Anthozoa; Malacalcyonacea; Plexauridae
Source: RNAcentral
UCGACAACCUAAUAUCUAUGUUGCUCUGACGUUGUUUUACAAACAUUGCUUCAACAGCAGCCAACAGACGUUGAAUUAACGUUCAUUCAUGGUUAAAUGUACGACGUCGAUUUGUGAACCAAUCUCAACGUUGUUUUAACGUGGAUUCAACGUUGAAUUAUGGUUAACGAGAUUGGCAACCUAAUUUCAACGUUGUUUCAACGUCCAAACAGUAACGUCGAUCCAAUUUGCAUAGUCAACCCUUUUUCAACGUCUAUUCA